CUUAUUCUUCCAUUGCCAUUAGGACCCGUUGAAGAUUUCAUUCUAUACGUUGACAUCGUCCACGCUGGUUCAGAGAACGAUACUAAACCGCUCAUUGGUUCGGCUCGGCUCAAGCUAGCUGACGUCAUCGAUUACGUUGGGAUCGGAGAGAGUCUAAGCAAGUCCCUUCAUUUGAAACGACCCUCUGGAAGACCGCAUGGCAAGGUUGAGGUUACGGUUGUCCUAAAAGAUAGAAGCUAUCAUGCUUCUGGAGAGUAUUAUACUCCUCCAUAUGGUGUUGUUCCGCCAGCAGUAGGAUACACCAAGAGGCCGCAGUACGAGGUUUCGUAUUUUUCUGCGGCCCCGCAGUCAGAGUAUCCAUAUGCUGCUGGUGAGUCAUAUGGAGGAGGGAGUUAUGAGGAGAAGAAGAGUGAGUUUGGAAGUAUGGGGACGGGAUUGGCUGUGGGAGCGUUGGCUGGUGUUGUAGGUGGAAUAGCAUUGG
RNAcentral lists this long non-coding RNA (481 nucleotides) under Lupinus mutabilis. Its description in RNAcentral is "partial ncRNA". The record is from RNAcentral. Lineage: Eukaryota; Viridiplantae; Streptophyta; Magnoliopsida; Fabales; Fabaceae.